This 311-nucleotide long non-coding RNA is filed under the name Salvia miltiorrhiza (redroot sage). RNAcentral's name for it is "long non-coding RNA (SMIL_LNC006204)". Lineage: Eukaryota; Viridiplantae; Streptophyta; Magnoliopsida; Lamiales; Lamiaceae. The record is from RNAcentral.
CUGUGUGUGUGAGUCGAAAUCAGAGGGGACGGCAGCCGCGGUGGCUGCCGGCGGUCGACGGUCGGCGACGGAGCCGAGGUGGUCUCCGAUCUGCCAAAGAGAAAAAAAGAGAUGAGUAUUUCAGAUUUUUAAUUUAGAAAAUGAAAAAAAGGGGGAAAAUAGAAAAAGAAGAAAUUAGGGCUUACCUUAGGCUACCCGUCGAUCCAGAGAGAGAGGCGAGAGAGCCGAGGGUGGCGCGGCCUAUCGCCGCUGCUCCUCCGGCGAAAUCCGUGGCGGCGACGGCUGGAUCGAGCAAGAGAGAGAGAUGAUGA